RNAcentral lists this long non-coding RNA (404 nucleotides) under Elaeis guineensis (African oil palm). Its description in RNAcentral is "long non-coding RNA (EGUI_LNC057971)". Lineage: Eukaryota; Viridiplantae; Streptophyta; Magnoliopsida; Arecales; Arecaceae. The record is from RNAcentral.
UCAAAGAAAUUAAUUAAAGACUUGAACCCUUAGUUCAUUUGAUCCAAAAUCUUAGGCACCCAACAAUUGGAGCCCAAUGAAUCUAAUUCAUUUAGAUUAUUAGUAGGUAAUUUAGUUUAAAUUAAUCUUAAGAAAUUCAAAUGUAAAGAGAAAAUUGGAUCUAAUCAUGUGCGAGCAAGAUUAUCCUGAACCCAAUAAGAUUUUUCUAAAUCCAAAUGAGACUUUAUAAGCCUAAUUGCUUAUUCCAGAUCUAGUUCCUUUACUGUGUGAUCUCAUAGGUUCAAUUCUAUCUGGUAGUAAAAUAUACAAUGAUCUUUAUCAUUAUAUUAUUGAAACUCUUUUCAAUGGAUUGGAAUAAUUUCACUCUAACUCAUUAAGGAUUGUCAAUCCUGAGCAACCCUAGU